RNAcentral lists this ribosomal RNA (574 nucleotides) under Trichoderma reesei. Its description in RNAcentral is "LSU rRNA". It matches the Rfam family "Eukaryotic large subunit ribosomal RNA", at positions 70 to 668 of the family's 3401-position model. The record is from RNAcentral. Lineage: Eukaryota; Fungi; Ascomycota; Sordariomycetes; Hypocreales; Hypocreaceae.
AAUCAUUGCCCCAGUACGGCGAGUGAGCGGCAACAGCUCAAAUUUGAAAUCUGGCCCUUUCGGGUCCGAGUUGUAAUUUGUAGAGGAUGCUUUUGGCAAGGCGCCGCCCGAGUUCCCUGGAACGGGACGCCACAGAGGGUGAGAGCCCCGUCUGGCUGGCCGCCGAGCCUCUGUAAAGCUCCUUCGACGAGUCGAGUAGUUUGGGAAUGCUGCUCAAAAUGGGAGGUAUAUGUCUUCUAAAGCUAAAUAUUGGCCAGAGACCGAUAGCGCACAAGUAGAGUGAUCGAAAGAUGAAAAGCACCUUGAAAAGAGGGUUAAAUAGUACGUGAAAUUGUUGAAAGGGAAGCGCUUGUGACCAGACUUGGGCGCGGCGGAUCAUCCGGGGUUCUCCCCGGUGCACUUCGCCGUGUCCAGGCCAGCAUCAGUUCGUCGCGGGGGAAAAAGGCUUCGGGAACGUGGCUCCCCUGGGAGUGUUAUAGCCCGUUGCAUAAUACCCUGCGGUGGACUGAGGACCGCGCAUCUGCAAGGAUGCUGGCGUAAUGGUCACCAGCGACCCGUCUUGAAACACGGACCA